This is a long non-coding RNA of Empidonax traillii (willow flycatcher), 2419 nucleotides long. RefSeq lists it as uncharacterized. The record is from RefSeq and is a predicted model, not a curated record. NCBI's taxonomy places the organism in Eukaryota, Metazoa, Chordata, Aves, Passeriformes, Tyrannidae. The transcript has 3 exons.
CAUUUGAGUUCAGGGGUGUGAGUGCUCUAUUGUGUUCCCUAGAAAGCCCGGUUCUAAAAUAGAUGAAGAUGGAAAAAAAAUCCUUCUACCUGUAUGAGAUAGAUCAAACCUUGUGUGCUGAGAUGUGACAGUUGAUCAUUUUGGUCCUAUCUUAUACUCCAGGAUGCAGAGACUGUGACUUUGACUAGUUUACAGCAGGAUGGGUACAUCUUAGGCUCUAAUUCUUUCCUGCUAAAAGCUCACUUGUAUGAUUCAGAGAUGUCUUUGCCUUUGAAAUAAAUAAGGCCUUUAAGCUCCCUCUCAGAGGAGACAGUGUGGGGAGGCCUGGCUGCCUUCUCUGCAUAAAUAUUUCUGUCAAACUGGAUUCAGGCUGAGGUGGGUGAAACUGCUGCACCAACAGGGAGCCAUCGACUUCCAUCUCCUGCCAGGCAGUACUGCAUCACUGAGAUUUGUGUUGUUACUGUACUGUCAAAAAUAGCUGUGAGUGAGAGAAAGGGCUGAAAUGCUCCCAUGUGUUCACCAAGCAGGAGGACAGAGCAGUUAGGAGAAGGAGGGAGAUGCAGAUUUGUGACAGUGAACAGAAGAUGUGCAAGGAGGAACUGCCUUCCCAGUCUCGUGAAAGGGUGACCCCCAUGCACGAUGGAAGGAGGAAGGAUGACUUCACAGAUGUAGCUUAUUAUACUUCCUAUGCAAGGGAGUUAUGCUAGUUCCAGAAACAACACACAUUGUUUUGGUGGCUCUUAAGAAUAUGCAAGGGAGAAACAAAGACCUCAGAGCAUGGUUCUACCUGUUGCAGCUGCUGCAGAUCAAACUUGCAAAUGUGAAAAAAGCAUCAGCAGGUGUUUUGGAUCAUGAGAUUGGCAAAGGCUGGUCAUCCAGGCAAAGGCAGAUCCAGACACUGUGAAGUGAGCAUGAAGACAUGACUGUGUUUGUUGAGGCAGUGAAGGUACAUACUUCAGUUACAGACUAUUUUCUUCACUCACCCUAUUUUCAUUCCUUCUCUCCACUGAAUUUUACCUUCAGCUAAAGGGCAUGGGCCUAUAUAUAUGGUCAGUACACAUGACCAGAACUUUGGUGCCAGAGUCCUUUGUCCUUUAUCCAGCAGCAAAUCUGCUCAGCUCCAUGUGACGCAGCAGCACAGAGAUUCUUUGCUUUUGUUUCUAGUGUUUACACCAUAUGGAGGGGAAAAAAAAGUUAAAGGAAAAAUGCUCAUAAAACUAGAGCAGAGUUAUAUAAACAACCGAAAACCUGCAGGAGGAUCUGUCUGAGAUCUGACCUGGUCAUUUGUUUAAAGAGGAUGUUUACUCACACCAACCAUUGUGGUGACUGUGCUGUCCAGUUCUCCAUAGAGGAAAGUAAAUGGAGGAGGUUUUUGACUGUGAUUUCUUACUGUGGUGCAAAAAAUAGGUGGCCUUUGAACUACCCCAUUAUUACUUUUCUCUAAUAAAGAAUUGGUGAUUCAAACUGUAUCUAUGGGACACCCACGCAGAGCGCCCAGCUGGAAGAUUGAACAUGACCAAAGGGUCGGCUCAUCUGUGCAAGCUAUUGUGGGGAGGGAACUCCCUUGGGUGAAGGGCAGAGGUAAAAACCUAAUGCAUGAAAGAGAAUUUGGAAGAAUAGUGGUCUCACUGUGCUUUUGGAUCUUGACCUCCAAUAUAAACUCUCUAGACUGCUUGCCUUUCUAUUUUCUAGUGACUGUUUGAAUGGCACCUUUAGGUGGAAAAUACGUUUUCUUCUCAUUCUUGAAGAUAUUGAUCUAAGGGAAAAUCUUGCACAAAAGGAUUGGGAAACAGUUAGAAAAGUUAAAGUGUGUAAUAAAUUAGGGCUGAGAGAAUAUAAAAAAAGAAUUUAGCACAUCACUUGACAGAUAGGAAGUAAUUUAUGUAAAUUAAGGAAGUGGUGGUUGGAUUCAAUUGGUCUAAUUUAAACACUCUUUCUAAUUAUUUUUGGUAUGUAUACAGAGGAUUAUAUGAUGGUCAUUAUUCUGACAGAAGGGUUCUUCAUAUUUAAAUUUAAAUCCAUAAAUUAUUACCCUAUUACAAUGUAAACAUGCUGUGAUAACAAGUACCUGAUUAUGCAGACAGGUUAGUCCAGCUACUCUGGUGAACAGCUGUGUGCAUGUAUUUCAGAUAAUGAUUUUUUUUACAUCCUAAAAACCACAAGCAAGCCAUUGAAAGGUCAAGAGAUGCCUGACCCACAGGUGGGAGCUGCCUGUAAGGAGGUUUGCUGGCACUGAGUGCAGACCAGAGAGCAGAUGGGCUCUCACAGGUUUCCACUGAAAGGGGCCCUAGUGGCACCCAAAAGUACAGAGGGAAGAUGACACAAUUAACAAAAUUAACAAUUCCCCCUCCCUACAGUCUGGUGCUGCUAAUCCCAAGUUAAAACUCCUAUAACAGCAUCUUUGGAGAACCUUCCUCUU